UACGGGGGGGGCAAGCGUUGUUCGGAAUUACUGGGCGUAAAGGGCUCGUAGGCGGCCAACUAAGUCAGACGUGAAAUCCCUCGGCUUAACCGGGGAACUGCGUCUGAUACUGGAUGGCUUGAGAUUGGGAGAGGGAUGCGGAAUUCCAGGUGUAGCGGUGAAAUGCGUAGAUAUCUGGAGGAACAUCGGUGGCGAAGGCGGCAUCCUGGACCGGUAUUGACGCUGAGGCGCGAAAGCCAGGGGAGCAAACGGG
This 253-nucleotide ribosomal RNA is filed under the name uncultured bacterium. Its description in RNAcentral is "partial 16S ribosomal RNA". It matches the Rfam family "Bacterial small subunit ribosomal RNA", at positions 524 to 776 of the family's 1533-position model. The record is from RNAcentral.